Molecule: long non-coding RNA, 1164 nt
Filed under: Gossypium barbadense (sea-island cotton)
Lineage: Eukaryota; Viridiplantae; Streptophyta; Magnoliopsida; Malvales; Malvaceae
Description: long non-coding RNA (GBAR_LNC021890)
Source: RNAcentral
UGGAAAAGAAAAUAAACCAAAAUUAAUUCUAAACUACGAGGGUUUUUGAAGGCGUCACACAUGACUUUUUUACAUUCAACCCCUACUGUCUUAUUUAUAGAGGUGUUGGCAGCCUAAAUUAGGUAUUCGGCACGUCCUAGGUCUUUGUAUAAGUUUGAUUGCAUGGACAAAAAUAACCUUAAAAUAUUUGGACAGCACGUCAACCGUGUAUUGUACCACACCCAUUGUGUGGCACAACAUGACAUGCAAAUAUUGUCUUGUGUUGUUUCUUUGGUGUUUUGACGUCCCAAGAAACUUGUGCAUCACUCGACCUUUGCUUCCAAGUCAAUUGGGUCUUUAUAUCUUCAUCUUGUACUCUCAAUUGAACCAAUUAGCACAAUCUAAGUCCCGUGUCGGCCUAUUGGGUCACAACACCUACAAAAUGUGUUAAAAACACUUAUUUUUAUUAACUUUCUAUCCCAAGGCCUAAAUACUGAAAAUAUAAAUUAAAAUCCUAAAUUUCUUAGAAAACAAUAUCCUUAAUAGUGAAAUUGGCCCGUAUUAAUUAAUAUAUUUGACUACAAGUCAAAAGACAUCUUCAUCCUACAACAAUUGCAAAUUCGCUUGGAGCGCAAACAACAUAGACUCUACCCCUUCGUACGCAGUUUAGCGUCUCAAGCAGCAAACCUCCGAUACACUCAAAACUGGUCCAUUUAACUUUGUUUUCUUCUCUAUAAUAUUUAGUUUCUUGUUCGUUGUCUUCUAUAUGUACAAAAAAACAAAAACAAAAAGAACGUCUAUAUUCUAGAUUCUCUUUUAACCCUCCCAAUGCCUUGAUCUGUUUUUUGUUGCCUCAAGAUGCAUUUAUUGGCAUCCCUCCAUCAAAUAUCCAUUUGUCUCAUACUACAUAUCUUUCAAAAGGGCAAGAAAAAGAAAAUAUUUCUCGUUUAGGGAAGACUAUAUCGCUUAUUGUUGAAAUUCAAGCACCCAAAUAAAUGAAAUUUAGCAAAAUUCAAAAGUGAAAUAAUUUUAUUGAAAGAACGAUAUCAUUUUGUUGGAAGAAGGAAGAAGAGAAAUAAUUUUUAAAGGAGAUUUUGGUGGAGGAAGAGAAAUAAAUUUAGGGAGAAAAUUUUAAAACUCACUUCUAUUAUAAAUUUUUUUGUUUCUUUUUUAUUUUUUGCUUGG